Molecule: non-coding RNA, 17315 nt
Organism: Rattus norvegicus (Norway rat)
Lineage: Eukaryota; Metazoa; Chordata; Mammalia; Rodentia; Muridae
Source: RefSeq, a predicted model, not a curated record
GCAUUGGCUCCCGCAGCCCCCGCGGCAUACCAUGAUGGGCACCUUGGAUGCUGUGGCACAGGAGGCAUAAUCUUUCUGGCGGCGGAUGGCUUCACGGACUAUCUCUCCCAAACAUGGAUUCUCUGAAGAGGGUAGAAAGUGUGGGGCCAAGGAACCGUGGGACCAGGAGCAGGCAUGGAUCAAGAGUGGAGUCGAGGAGCUCAUGUAGCUGGAGUCAGGUAAAAACUACGGUUCCUCUUACUUUUCCCCUUAUAAGGUAAUGUCCAGCCUGGAAUUCCUCCUCAUGCAAAUGAGGCACCCGGAGCAACUUGGCCCCAACCAAUGAGGUACACUCAGCCCCCUUUAAAUAGGCCUCAUUCCUCCCAAUUAGACAAGCCUCUCCGGAGUUUGUUCUAAGUGGGGUGGUCUGCUUUAUUCUACCUAGUACCUUUAUUCUACACAUUUGAUGUGCUUCUAUUAUCCCAGGUUCCGCACAAGGCUUUAAUCAAGCCCCGAGGCUAUUCUGGUGGCGGGGGUGGGCUUAAUCCUCCAUCUUUCGAAGGAAUUGGCAAACUGGUAAAUAGCGGCCAAAUCAUGUUACUGGAUGCGUUCUGACUGGUAGAACGUGCUUAAAUGCUAACGUGGAAAACAUCUGAAUUCACUUAAGAAUUUGGAUUUCCGGCUUCUCUGAAAGUAGGAGGUCGGCCAGAGCUCAGCCUGCUUCCCCACAUUGCCAUGGUGCUAUGAGCUUUGGGUAGGACAGAAGAGUGUCAGUUUGUCCCAGACUGGCUGUACCACUCCCAGUAGCCUGUCUCCCUUGGUCUAGAGCAACGGUUCUCAACCUGUGGGUCUCAGUUCCUCUGGGUGUCGAGUGACCCUUUCACAGGGGUUGCCGACGACCAUCCGAAAACACAGAUAUUUACAUUACAGUUCCUAACUGUAGAGAAAUUAGUCAUGAAACGGCAACAAAAAUAAUUUUAUGGCUAGGGGUCAGCACAACAUGAGGAGCUGUAUUAAAGGGUGGCAGCAUUGGGAAGGUUGAGAACCACUGGUCUGGACACUAGUGUUAGAAGAGCACACGUAAGUAAGGGUCCCGGAGGCUUUCGGUGAAGUGACUAUAGAGAGGAAAUCUAGAAAAGAUGCUAAGGAGGUAAAGGCCCUUCUGGAUGAUUUUGGAAGUUCUAGAAACAACCGGAGAUCAGUAAAGAGGGGCUCUGUGUGUGCUGGAAUGUUCACCUUUGACCCCGCUUUUCACCUCCAGCCUCCACCCCCUCCCAGCCCUGCCAGGACCUUUGGAACAGGCACUGCGGGAGGAAAGCAGAGUCCGAAGCCUCACGGUGGUGGAAAAAUUACUUGUUAUCCCGUGCCUCAGUUUCCCUGCCUGGAAAAUCCUAGCCCACGUGUAACUCCUCACUGAUUCACGGCCUCUGCUGAGCAGCAGAGGCAACUGAGGAGGAAAAGCAUCUGAGCUUUGUAAAGGGGUUGUGUGUUUUACUAAGACGCACGGGCACCGUAUCCCAGCUGCAAACAAUCCUUUAAAACAAUGGGUUUAGAAGGAUUCAGAGUCCAGUGUGUGUGGUGUGCAUGUGUGUGCAAUGCAGAGGCACAGUCCAGGCUUCUGUGGUGUGUCAAGAACCUCCUGCCUACUUCUGCCCGUGAAGAGCAAUCUCUCUUAGCUCCGAGUCAGUGCCAAUCAAGGAGAAGGGGUAGCAUGAAGGUGCUCCUUUCUCUCUGUAUGUUGCCACCCGGGGGUCUGCAGUCCAUAGGCACCCCCAACCCCUUGCUGUACCUAAGUGUUUUCCAGCAGACAGGACGGUAAGAAUGUACUUGGCAUUUCUUUUCUGGCCGCUUUGCUCGAGCUGGGUACUCGAGGAAGCUUAUAGCCUUCAGGGAUGUCACCCUAGAAUCUUGAUGCUGAAUCCUCACCCACCACGACGUUACUCAGUCUCUACCAUAAGCCAGUGCAGUUGUUUUAGGCGAGGAAUUACGACCCAGAGAGAACUGCCCUGCUCAAGGACACACAGAUUUUUCUUUUCAGGACAACAGUGUUGCUUCUGACUUUUACAGGUCCUAGUUUGGGGCCGCAGAGAUGGCUCAGCAGAUCAUACUUCACAAGAGGGUUUCUUGCUUGUCAUGGUUUGAAUAUGCCCGGCCCAGGGAGUGACAUUCUUUGGGGGUGUGGCCUUGGUAGAAUAGGUGUGUCAUUGUGGGUGUGGGCUCUAAGACCCUCAUCCUAGCUGCCUGGAAACCAGUGUUCUGCCAGCAGCCUUCAGAUGAAGAUGUAGAACUCUCAGCUCCUCCUGCACCAUGCCUGCCUGAAUGCUGCCAUGUUCCUGCCUCGAUGAUACUGGACUGAACCUCUGAAGCUGUAAGCCAGCCCCAGUUAAAUGUUGUCCUCAUAAGAGUUGCCUUGGUCGUGGUGUCUGUUCACAGCUAAUAAAACCCUCACUAACGCAGUGCCCUUCUAGAAGACCCUAGAACACAAGUUCAGUUCCCAGCACCCAGGCAGCACACGAUCACCUCCAACUCCAGUUCUAGGCCAUCUGGUGCCCUCUUCUGGCCUCCAUGGGCACUGCACUCUCACACUGCUCCCCAACUCUUAGCACAUCCCUAGGUACCCCAUACUCACCGUAGCACAUAUUCUACCAAGAAACCCUGAAGGGUAGCCUGGUAGCCAGCCAGUGUCCACAUGACCCCAUUACCCCAUCUUCUGCCACAUCCUCCAUGUAGUAGCCUCUCUCAGCGAAUGCACUGCACCAAGGUAACUGAUACAUUGACCUAGACAUGGCAGUGCAAGCCACUUCUCUGCCUAGGUCAUUCGAGACCAUGCACGGCUCCCUCUUCGCUAUCUGAUGGUUCCCUCUAGGAAGAUCAGGUACUCUUUGACCCCCUGCCUCUUUCCUCUGCCCUCUGUCCUACAAGGACAGCAGACUCACCUUGCUCACAGUGAUUGCCACUGAAGCCAGGCUGGCACAGGCAAUAGGGCUCCCCUCGAUCUGAGAUGUGGCACUGCCCGUGGUGGCACUUGAAGGCUGAGCAGGCAUUGGCAGAGUCAUUCUUCUGGUCACACAAAGGUCCCUCAUAGCCCUCGGCACACUUGCACACAUAUGAGUUGCCAGUCGCCACGCAUGUCCCAUGGCUGCAGCUGUGGGUAGAGGGGAGGAGACCAGAGUCAGUACCUUCCUCUGUCCCUGCAUUGGGUCCAGCAUCUAAGUGUCUCCUUUCAUGUAAACCCCAUGCUGGUGGCCAUGUAGCCGCAUGCCAUUGUGCCCUAGUGAACGCCCACUGCCAGCUCUGACCAUGGCAGAUACCAAUCUGCUGUUUCCUCCAGAGACGCGAGAGUCUUCAGUGCCAAUUCACAGCCCAGCAGUCUUUUAACUUUCUGUCAACAUUAAAAGUAACUAUUUUUGUGUUUUUUAAAACAGGAUCUCACUCUGAGGCUUCGGCUGGCUUGGAACUCACUUCGUAGGACAAGCUGGCCUCGAACUCACAGAGACCUGUCUGUUUCUACCUCCCAAGUGCUGGGAUGAAGGGCUUGCACCACCACAUCUGGCAAAAAUAAUUUUUAAAUAUUGCAUUUUAUUAGGGGUGUGUGUGUGUGUGUGUGUGUGUGUGUGUGUGUGUGCGAGUGUGUGUGUGUACAAAAGUGUACAUGUGGGUGCACAUGUGGAGGUCAGAGGACGACUUGUUACAUGGCUCUCUCCUCCUACCAUGUGGGCCCUGAGGGAUUGAACUCAGGUUUCAGGCUUAGCAGCAAGCUCCUCUACCCACUGAGCCAUCCUGCUGGUCUUUGUAAACAUUUUAACUCUCCUGCAAUUUAAAUAACAAACACUAUGACUACUAUUACUACGACUAGUACAACCACUAUAGGUUGGACAACGCUCACCCAGAAUGGCCCCAAAUCCUAACAUUUUAAACGUCAGCAUGGGUUCCAGUGAAACUUUCUACACCUGACCUCCAACGAUGAGCUGCUGAUAAGACACAGAUGCACUGAACAGAUCACAUGGGAUUAUUAUCAGGCCGAGCGCCUAUGUGAGUGUGUGCACGCACGCGUGCAUGUUCACAUGCGUGUGGUGUCUAUGUAUGAAAUAUGAAUGAACUGUGUGUAUAUGCUUCAUUCUUACCUCCCCAGUGUCUCAGAGGAACAGGUAUAUACUCAGAUGGGAAGCAUUUCUAGUGUCAGGCAUUUUGGACCAGAGACAUGUCAUAGCCCGUUCUCGGCAGACAGCACAUGCUGUGUGUUAAGCACAUCAGAUCUUGUACCACUCCACUCCAAGACAGCCCCUCCCAUGAACUAGCCUUCUGUCCAUCUCCCAGAGCAAAGUCCACAUUUUGUAGAACAAAAAAAUAAUUUAGAAUUAUUGUCUGUGUAGGAGGGUUUUGCCUGCACAUAUCUAUGUGCACCAGGUGCCUGGUGCCUGCAGACACCAUAAGAGGGCAUUGUGUCCUCUGGAACUAUGGUUACAGAUGGUUGUGAGUCACCAUGAGGGAGCUGGGGACUGUAAGGGCAACGGUGCUCUUAACUACUGAGACAUCUUUCUUCUUUUUCUUCAAAACAAUUGAAAAAAGUUUGUGUUUUUAUGGAUGUAGGUAUUUUGCGUGCAUGCAUAUGUGUGCACCAUGUGUGUGCCUGUGUCCACAGAGGCUAGAAAACAGUGUUGGAUCCCCUGGGACUGGAGUUGCAGAUGCUUGUGAGCCGUCAUGGAGGUCCUCUGGAAGAACAGACUGUGCUCUUAACAAUGGAGCCAUCUCUAUAGCUCCCAGCUCUUUCGCUUAAAAAUAUUACUCUUAUGUAUUUAUCCUCCUGUUUAUUUCUGUGUGUGCAUACGUAUGGUUGUGGAGGUCAGGGGACCACCUGUGUGAGUUGGUUCUUGCCUUCUGUUGUGUGGGUCCUAGCGGUUGAACUCAGGUCAUCGGGCUGUGAGGCCUUCGCCUGCUAAGCCGUCUCUCUAGGCUGCAAAGCCAGAAAUUUCAAUCAUGAUAUAUCCCUGAGCCUACUGGGGUGACAUUCAAGCCAGGGUUCAUGUUAAUUCCAGCGCCAGGCGCAUACAUCAAGAGUAACAGGGAGUUUAAAUGUCUACAGCAUUCCUUCCUUCCUGAUCAGGACUGUUUUCCCCUGACUAGUAGUUCAGGCACCCAAAUUACCAGUCUUGAGUCUGGUGUUACUUUUAGCCGACUGCAAUUUCCAGGAAUACUUGUAGUUAGACCCUGCACACAGUAGGCCUUCAAUAAACGCUUGCUGAUUGAGUAAUGGAUGACUGAACCGUUAAAUGUGAUUCCGAUGUGCAUUGUUGUGUGGACCUAGUACACGGGGGCUGGCAUUCCUGUCUUCUGCUUUUGCUUUGCUGUGUUUGGGGUUUCUAUUUCCCUUAAGACAGCUUUUUCUAAUCACUGCAGAGUCUGGCAGUGGUUUUCACUGGUCCUCAUGGCUGCCUGGUGAAGAUAUUUCAAGAAAGCUCUCCUCACACUCUUUCAAGCCAGGCAUGCUGCCUGGAUGUAGGAGCCCGUUUCUUGGUAUUUUAAGCAUUCAUGCUAUCCAUAGUAGGACCACAACCCUCCCCAGCAACCAUCAGUUGCUACUUCCUUAGAUGCAGGCAGAGCAACUAAGUCCUUGUGCUCAGGACUCACCUGUGACCAAGGCAGGGGUCCUGGGCUUCCUGAUCACACAGUGGACCAGUCCAUCCCGGAUGGCACUCACACACUACGCUGUCCUUCUCCACGGAGCGACACAGGCCGUGACGACACACAGUGCAGGAUUUGCAGCCGGGAGAGACCCCCAGGGACUGGGGUGGGAGGGCUUUGAAAUCCUGCAACUCGUUGUUGAUGCGCACUUCGUGUAUACAGCCGUGGAAGCCGCCCAGCGGCCUGUCUGCACCCUGGCGUAAGGCUGAGAGGCCUGUAGACGUGGGGAUGCCUGAGGGAGGAAGGCGGGGCAGCCUGAAGACACGUCCUUGUCCCAUCUCCACCCCCUCAGUCUUCAAAGAGAGAACAUACACAGCACCUGUCUACAGCCACCAUUCAGAGCUCUGGGCCUCUGCUGUUCAAACAGAGUUAACAGGCCAAGGCCUCGCUCGGCCUUAUCCUCACAGCGACACGUCCUUGCUUUGGAACUGUUAAAACUCAACUUAUCACCAGUUUCUAAAUUCAGAAAAAAAAAAUCUGCAGAAGUCUGUAUUUUAAGGAGAAGUGAGAAGAACUGUCAUCUAUUGUCACACAGUCCCCCUGGCUUAACUGAGGCCCACCCCUUAGGCAUGGUGUGGCCCGGUGACCACUGGAUCACCCCGCUAUCCCUGUCCCCAACAGCAUGAGGCGCUCCUUGCCCUAGUUCCUGUUUGAAAAAUCCACAUCAGAGGAGCUGCAGUUUGGGAAUGAGGAUAAGGUUAGGGGAGCAGCUUGCUCCAGUGAAGCUCUGGGGUUCAAGGUUUCCACAUUAUUUACUGCAGAGCCUCUGCGCUACACUGAUGUCUUUCUCAGGGCUGUUUGCUGACUCCUGGUAAAGGCCUGAUCUUGUUUUCAGGGACGUCAGCUCUGUGUUCUCUCCUUUUACUGUUGGACAGACAGCAUAAUUGUGUGUGUGUUUAGUGUACAUACAGCCCUGGGUUCAAUCACCAACAACCACAUACACGGGGCAUGGGGGCACAUGCUUGUAAUCCCAGCACUCAGCAGGCAGAGCGGGAGGAUUAAAAGCUCACGGGUAUCCCUGGCUAUUGAUGAAGCCUGAGACCCCACUGUGCUGUAUGAGAUGCCAUUUAAAAAAAAAAAAAUCUUGGGCUGGGGAGAUGGCUCAGUGGUUAAGAGCACUGACUGCUCCUUCAGAGGUCCUGGGUUCAAUUCCCAGCAACCACAUGGUGGUUCACAGCCAUCUGUAAUGGAAUCCGAUGCCCUCUUCUUUAAAAUCUUAAAAAAAAAAACUUAACUUUCCAUUCUUCCUUUCCUGAAACUUCCAGGCCUCAUGAUGGCUGGAAAAAGUGCCCAGUUUUGUCCUGGCCACAGGCGGGGCAGGUACAGGGAGGGGAGCAACCCUCUUCCUUGUGGAGAAGCUGUGUCCUAAGGUGAGUCUGGGCCAGGAGCACUCUGUCCCCGGCCUCUGGACAGCCUGUCCGAAGUGCAAACCCCUGAGUCCGUGCCAGCCCUUGGCUGGGGACACCUGGGCUGAAGUCUUAGGAAUCUGUAUUGAACAAACUGCUUUGGUGGCUGAGUACGAACAACACGUGUCUCUGGGGAAAGAAUCCUGGCUGCUGUUUGCUCCCACUAGAGAAGGGCUCUACCACGGAGUUCCAACCGGAAGUGCCCUCCAUCCCUACCCCUGCACUCCAACAUUCUUUUUUGUUUCUUUUUCGCAUAUAAUUUAAGACUCAUCAGCCUAGGGGCUUCAUUUCAGGUCUAGGCAGCUUGUGUGGUUUCUUGUUUUGCCCUUUUUACAACCUUGACCUCAGUGUGUUGCUUCUUGCCAUAUCUAAGACAUAGAGCAGAGGGGCACCGCCCUGGAGGCUUGCAAACUGCAACUGAGCCUGGAUACCCUUCUUUCUAUUUCCUUCUUGCUUCUCUUCGCCUCCCUGCCCACUGGCUAGUCCACCCUUUUUCUUUCACGAGCAUCUGUCCAGAGUCUGUUCAGCAAUCGAUUUUGUUGUCACUUCCUCCUGGAAGCCUCCCCUGAUUGGCUUUGGUGCCAAAAAGACAUCAGGGAGACCCCGGCGUCAGGUCUGGGUGUCCGUGCAGAUGCAGAAAGCCAGAAAGGCAGAGAGGGUAGGAUUAGGUGGUGACAAGGGAAAACGUUACCUCCAAGAUAGAGGGGACUGUUGAUGCCCACUGCUGGCUGCUUCUGGAGCUUCCCCAGGCUCUUGGGGGCUCCUUUGUCUACCACCAGGUUCAGGGUCUGGUUUAGCAUCACCAGCUCCACACUGUGAAACUGGCCAUCAUUCACCGUCUCCACACUGGACAGGAGAGAAAGGAAAAGAGUCAGAGGUCAAGUGCACUCCAUGGCCAGGCACCGGGCUGCAGUUGGUUUUUGCGAGGCUUGCGUCCUGCUUUACGUUCAUUUGGAAACAACUGCGAAUUACAGAAGUUGCGAAAAUAAGAACAGAAAGUACGCCGUACUGCCCACGCUCUUCUCUCCGACUGCUUCCAGUUUCUAUGAGUGAUGUGAGGAUAAAGUAUGGAUGUCAUGACCCUUGACCUCUGUCGGGAUAAAGUACGCAUGUCAUGACCCUUGACCUCUGUAAGGAUAAGGUAUGCACAUCAUGGCCUUUGGAUCCCUCAGCUGUGUCUCCCAAGGACUGGGCUGUUCUCUCACAUAAGUAGUGUGCUGACUGAACAGGGAGCAGCUAACGUUCAUUCCAACCCUUUAUUUGUACGGAUGUGCAGUGGCCCCAGCCACGGCCCUUGCAGCAGGUUUCUGUUCCCACCACAGAGUCCUUGCAGGGCCGCCGCAGCAGCUGCUGCUCAGUUCUUGCCCUGUUUUUUUUUUGUUUUUUGUUUUUUUUUCCAGAGUAGGCAAGCGAUCCUUAGCCCAAUGAUCUCAGGCUGGCUCUGCCCGCACACCAUCCGGACACCUGCUCUCGGAAGAUGCUGUCCCUUCAAACACCGUAUGUCCUUUGUCAACCUCGCUGAAGAGUUAGCCUUGUCCUAAGGUACGUCUGGGAGAAAACAUUCCAGUAUGAUGUGAUUUUUUUUUCCCCCUAGCAUGUAUGAAACAGACACUGUCUCAGUUAAGAUGUCAGUAAUUUGUCCUUGUUCCUGAAUCCUCUGUAUAAACCACCCCUUCUGAUCAGGCCACAUCUGAGGAAAGAGGGUCUCGUGCUCCAAGCGAGUCUAAUCCUUAUCCCAGAACUUGGCAGCUCAGGGAGACAGGGCUGUUCACUCCCUUCCCCAUGCUAUUCUGCGACAGAGCAGGACUUAUCUGGGCCAUGUAUAGGGCCAACACACUCACUUACAUUAUUUCAUAUUUCUACGAUUGGGUACCAGAUAACCCGCUUUAUAGAUAAAAAUACUGAGGCCCAGAGAAGUUACCGGAUUUGUCUGGGGUCACCCAGUUGAUACAGGCCAGAGAUAGGGUUUACAGGCAAGACUUUUGAUUGCCAAGUUCUGUUUUUCCCAGGACACUGUUGGUUGCAGGGUUUGGGAGGGAACUGUGGUUGGUUACAGGACUUUGGGGACGUGAAGAAAGGGGCUCACUGGGGAGUCUGUAGAUCUGUCUCAUUGGUUCAGGUGUGGGUGGCAGACAGGAGAGUCUCUCCCUCAUCUUGAAGUCUCCCUGGGAUUCCCACCGAUUUUCCAGGUAGCAGGGAAAGCUUGAAUGGCUGUGGAACUUCUGAAGACCAGAGGGAAAUGGUAGAUACUGAACAGGUCGGUGAGUGGAACAGAAAUGGAGGCCGCUCCCCAUGCUCUCACUGAUGGGCAGGACAAUGGCCAAUCACAGAAUCCCUGUCUCUGUGUCUUCCACAAGGGGGAGGGUCACCUGCCAGAGUUACUGGGUGAUCAAGUUAUUGGUGAUAUUUGUACUAUUUUGAGGAGCUACGGAAGAGAGCUGGGUCAGUGAAGUGCUAGUCUUGAAAGCUCCGUGUUAGAUCCCCAGAACCCACAGGAAAAGCCAAGGGCAGCACUGCACAUUAGCAAUCCUAGCCCGUCAGUCUGUCCCAGGCCAGUGAGGUACUAUGUCUCCAAAGAAGAUGGACAGCACCAGAGGAACCAUGUCUGAGGCUGUCCUCUGGCCUCCAUGUGUCCGGGCAAACAUACAGAGAACAGUGACAAUAAGAACCCACCCCAGCCUGCACCCCGGUGAUCCUUACUAUAGCUUUGAUGCUGAGAGAAAGCAAUGGAGAGGAGCCUGGGAUCCCCACAAGUCCUCCAAAAUAAAACGUAGCCAUUUGUCAGCUCAUAAUCUGUCCUCCCCACCCUCCCUUCCUCUUUCCCUCCCUCCUACUCAUGGACCUGUCCACUCUUACUCCUUCCUCUCUAUCUACCCACACAUCCUGACUGUCCAUCCACACAUCCUGUCUAUCUAUCCACACAUCCUGUUUCCUCCAUCCACUCAUCCAGUCUGUCCAUCCGUCUACCACGCUUUCACCGAGGGCUCAGCCUUUCUGUCUUAGGUGCUGGGGGACCAGUAACAAAUCACAAAGCCCACACUCCACCACGUUUCUAAAUCAAACAGCCGACUUUUGAGCAUAAGGUCCAGCCAAGAAGCAGGAAAAUGAAGGUGGGGCAGGAGCCGAGAGACACUGGGGGAUCUGGUGCAGGGAUGGGGCGCUGAGCAGUGGAGAAGCUGUGUGAAUGGAUCAGCGGCAUCUCAACUGCCCUGAGUCACAGCAGGCAGAGGCUGUCCUCUUGCAGACAAGUUGAUUAGUAUAACGGUUAGAGAAAGAGGGCCAAGCCCUCGCUUAGUUUUCUAACCAUGUGCAAAAACUUCUAGCUGUGUCCCUGACCACCCCAGAGCUGCCGCUGUCCUGGUAAUUGAGCUCCCGGGACCCAUAACUGAAAGGAAGGAUGGGCUAUUUGGGAACUCAGUUUCAAAGGUUGCAUUCCAGAGCUGAUUUAGGCCAGUCUUUGAAAGAGUCCUGUUUACUUCUUGGUGGCCAGGAAGCAAGAAGGAAGGGACUAGGUCCCAAGGUCCCAAUGUUCCCUGUAAGGGCACAGCCACCCAGUGACCUCAGUUCCUCUUCCAAUGUGCCACUUCCUUGGUGUGCCUCUUGCUUAGGUAAGCAUUAGGCAACUUCCCUAUCAGAGGCAGCUGUGAAGCCAGGGUUAUGUGUGUGGCCUUCUUUCUUCCCUUCCAGAACCAAGUAAGGGUCAAGGUAGUCGGGGCAGUGAUUUUCCUGUUUUGGAUAUACUCAGGCACAGCGAGCAACCCCAUUAGCUCCUUCCUGGCUGUGCACCAGGCUGGGUCCAGUGCUUACAGCAGCUACAGAGGGCUGCAGUUACAACACUCUGCCUCAGGGAGGGUUAGGUUCCCCUGGCUCCAAGGACAGCUUUGUCUGCCUGUCUCACCCACCGUUAAAACAAAAGUCGUAAGGACCAGAGAGAUGGCUUGGUGGUGGCUGUGUAGCAGUUAACCCCUGAGGUUGGAUCCUAGAAUCCUCAUAAAGCCAGACACUGUAGAUACACAGUGUAUCUAUAAUCUCGGAGUUUCAGGGAGAUGGGGGGUGGAGACGGGAGAGCCCUCAGAAGGUCACAGGUCAGCCAGCCUGUCAUACACAGGAAUAAACAAGAGAGCCAGCAUCAAACGAAGUGGCUGGGAAGACUCCCUGACCUCCACAUUGCAUGCCCUGGUGUGUACAUGCCUGCACUCACGAUCGCAGACACACACAAAGAUUUCUGUCAGGGUUGUAAAUACCGGUCUUCCAAAUCAAAAUACCAGUGGGAAAACAGCCAUACCGCUAACAAUAACAACAACAACAACAAAGAUGGUAAAAGUAAAAACCAAACAUAACCCUUCCGUUUGCUCUAAGAGAAUUGACCUUGCUGAAUUGCCAAGCGCAGGUGGUCUUUUGAGGAGAUCAUUAGGGAUUUCAGGGGAGGUGACGGGCCUGAGAGUCUUCAUGAUUGUUCCCCGGGGCCCAGAGAGUAGCAGUGGCACUGCAUUAGCCAGGUUGGAGGGCUACUGCCUAGAGCUGCUGUGGCCACAGCCAUUGCCAGAGGAGCCUACGGUGCUCUUCUGUGUUUAAGGACGUAGCUAUUGUCUGUGUAUGCGUGAGUGCCUGCACGUGUGUGUAUGUAUGUAUGUAUGUAUGUAUGUAUGUAUGUAUGUAUGUAUGUAUGUGCACCGCUUGCCUGUCUGGUGCUUCCUGAAGCUAGAAGAGAUGUUGGAUCUCCUAGCACUAGGGUUACAGUGAGCUGUAUGAUAGCUUCUGGGAGCCGAAAGCAUCUUCUACAAGAGCAGGAAAUGCUUUUUUCUUUCUCUUUUCCUAGUGGCAAUGGGCGGUUUGUGGGGUAAGGACAGGGGCUGAAAUAUCGUCAUUUAACCCUAACAAGCCCACAGGCAGGAGGCACAUCUUUCCUCGUUUGGAAACAAGAGACUUACUGCCCAGAGAAUUAGAGGGCCUCACGAAGAAGAGCUGGGAUUUAAGCUCAUGUCUCCCAGCUCUGGGACUGUAGGACCGUACAAGAAAGAUUAUCAUGUGGUCACUUCUCCUGAUGCCAAGAGUGACCAAUAGGUGGCGACAGAGCCCCGCAGCCACAAACAGCUCCUGUGAUUUCUUUGGGCAAGCAACCUGGGCCCAGGAACCCCAACUGACUUCUGCACCUAGUACCACAGCUUGCAGCCACACACUGGGAGGGUUGGGUUUAGUGGAAACCUGACCUGUGUCUUCCCAUCCUGGGAUUCCUCUGAGCAGUCAGGCUUCUCAGCCCUCAAAUAGGAAUGAGGAUGUUCGAUCCUUCAUGUGCUAAGGAUCCAAUGGGGCCAAGACCUUAGCAGCGAUGGUGGCAAUCUGAACUAUCAGGGUAUGCACCUCGCUGGGUAGAGCUGACUAGUGUAUGGAGUUCUGAUCAGACCUUAAAACCUUAAAAAACCUAAGACAUGGUCCCCCCAAACCCUGUUUUCCCAGUUUUUCUUCAUAAUCUACCUCGAAGCAACACCCACUGGAGUUCUGGUUAGCUGCCCUUUCCACAGGCCCCUGGCCCUGUGGGCAGAGGAGUCUCAUGGUAAGUCUCCACACUGAAGGCCUAUCCUAUCCUGGGGCAGGAGAGACCUAGCUGGGCUUGGUGUGUCUGCCCUGUAGCCGACAGCAGAACCUUGACAUGCUUCCUCACUUCUUAUGACUAGUGGGGGCCUGAGCAGAAUCAAUGGGCAGAGGGAGGCCCUAGCAUCCAGCUUCUCUGGAAGGAUAAAACCUGCAGGGGCCCUGGCAGCUCACUCUUUCAUGGGGAUAGCUCAUGGGGUCUCAGGGGACAGAAAUCUGUAGGCUGCCAACUCCCCCGAUGGUUUGGUUUGGCAGCUUGGCUUUCAUUUGAAGCUGACGAGGCCUUUCAGGUGGCGAAAAGUCAUUGCAGUGACUCUGAGGAAUGGCCUUCUGUCCCUUCAGCUGCUGUUAGCUGAGAGUACAAGUCAUGAAUUACAGCCUCUCCCAGCAUGGCAUUCACAGAGGGCCUCUGUUGUGGCAUCUCCUGGCCCUGCCGUGUGGGAACGCCCUUCCUUAUCUUCCAAGCAGGGACAUUUACUCCUUGUUUGGAAGUGUCUCCACAGCAGGUUGGAGAGCCUCCAGGGAGGCCUGUUAGAUUCUGCCACUGUCUGUCAACAUGUAUGUUUCUGUGUGUGGGAUGCUUAACGUCAUGUCGAGUGAGGGGGUUGCAGGUAGAGGGAGAGGAGGAGAAAGAGGACUGAGGUGGAGGAGAACAGAGGUGGAGGAGAACUGAGGUGAGGUCGCCAUGAAGGGAGAUGGAUCAUGGGCAAUGUGUCCAGGAGAAACAGCAAGUAACAAGGGAACUUCAUAGCCAGAGAAUAAGUUAGCAUAGCUGUCAAUCUAGGCUUAUGGCUUAUAAAUAAAAUAUCUGGAUGGUGUGUCUUUUAUACAGGCAAGCUAGAAUUAUAAAUUCAACUUACAGAGUGAGGUCCAGGAUGCCUAGGGCUACAGAGAAACCCUGCCAGUGAGGACUAAACACACACACACCACUAUACACACACACAUACACAUAUACACAUGCACAUAUGCACCACACCACAUACAUACACACACACCAUACACACAACCACACACAUGCACACAUACACCACACCCCCCCACACAACACACACACACAUGCACACACACACACACACACCACACUAUACAUACACAACACACACACAUACACACACACCACACUAUACACACACCACAUCACACAUGCACACAUACACCACACUCACACACACCCCCCACACACCCCCACAUACACAUAUAUAGACACACCACACACACAUAUACCACACACACAUACACACCACACACACACACACACACACACCCCCACACACACCAUACACCACACACGCACACGCACACCAUACACUCUAAAACUGCCUUUACAUGAUGUGAAUGACAUACAUGAACUGUCCCACAAAAUCACUUUUAGUGCGGGAUUUCUGGAGCCUGGGGCCCCUUAUGGUUAUGUGCAGAAGGGCAGCAAUGUUCUGCAGCAAGGUUUGGCAUGUGAAUCUGAGUCAUCUGCCCAGAUGCCCAUCACUUGCUUCUUUCCAAGGUCAUGCCACCUCCCUAGUGGACUCAACACAUUCAUACAACUCCCUGGUGGUAGCUCUAGGAGGUAGCAAUGGUUUCCCCAACUCAGCAUAGUGUUUCCAGAGGCCCCUCGCUCUGCACAGAGCUCAGCUGCUUCUGGAAACCCACCUCUCAUCCAUCCAUCCAUCCUGGAAUGUCUACAUCAUGGCUCAUUUGCUAAGUACUGUUCCAUCCACACUAACCAGCACCCUAGGAAAUGCCCAUCAGUGCCACAGGAAGGAAGCGGGGAGGGAGAGGAAGACACUCCUUUAACACUCCAAGUGACAGGAGGGCUUUCUCUCAGGCAGAUGGUUUAUCAGGCAGCUGCUGGGCCUGCCUCCCUGCUCUCCAUUCUUCCCACCUGGUUCAAGGUCAGCAGUUUCAGAAGCAAAGAUGAUAGGAGACCCAGUGUCUGCUCUGUCUUACUGUCUGAGGCUGGCCUUGUUUCUCCCCACCUUCUUCCAGGAGCCUUCCGCUCUGGUUGGUGCUUGUCUUUGCAGCAGUCCUGACACAGCCGCCUUCGAGUUCUCUCUGCACAUGUGAGUUUCUCCCUUCAAGAUCCAACUCUCAUACAUUAACCCCCGCUUCUGAAAUUUACGCACCAAGCACCUUUAAUCCUAGUACUCCAGUGGUGGAGGCAGAUAGACCUCUGGGUGUUCGGGGCUAGCCUGGUCUAUAUAGUGAGUUUCAGACCAGCUGGGGCUACACAGGAGGGAGGGUCUUAUCUCAAUUUUUUUCUUUUUUUUUUUUUUUAAAUGCAUGAGGGUCACCUGAAGGAUUCCUUAAAUACAGAUUUGCUGUCUGGUAGCUUCAGAUUGAUUACUUCUGGGGUAAGGACUGAAAAAAAAUGUGUAUUUUUGUAUUUUUGCCAUACUCUGCUCUCAGAACCACUGAUUACUCCUUCCCUUGCUUCCCUUCCCCCACCCUCUGUGUGUGUAUUUCUGCGAUAUGAAGACUGGAUUCAGGGACUGCAUGCACGUUAGAUAAACACCCUUCUAUUGAACUAUGCCCUCCAGCUCUAACUGCUGUUUAUUUAGUUUUUUUAUUAAUUUUAUUUUUAUUUUAUUUAUAUGAGUACACUGUUACUGUCUUCAGACACACCAGAAGAGGGCAUCAGAUCCCAUUACAGAUGGUUGUGAGCCACCAUGUGGUUGCUGGGAUUUGAACUCAGGACCUCUGGAAGAGCAGUCAGUGCUCUUAACCACUGAGCCAUCUCUCCAGCCCUAUUUAGUUCUUUUGAAGCAGGGUAGCCCUUGGUGUUCUGGAAUUCAUAGAGAUCCACACACACACACUUCUCAGCCUGCAGAGCACUAGAAUUAAAGGCCUUUGCUACCAUCAUCAUCUCAUACCACUGGCUUUAACCGAGGGUUUUUAGACUGGGUUUGCUAGAGGAGAAUCAGAGGCCUGGGCCUCCCAACUCUGCAGGGCAGUUCUACCUCAUUUUCGAUGAGGACAGUCUAAAUGCUGGAAACUUGUGCGCAUCAUAAGGUUUCUGACUCUGGAGCGUUAUCUCGGAUGAGGGGUGCUCACCCUCCCCUUUAGUGAGCAUCAGGGAACAUUUGGAGUGGAUGAGCCUGUCUGUGUGAGGUGGCACUCAGGCCAGGCUGGAGAGGGUGAGUAGGUUCCGUGUUGGCUUACAGUGGCACACGAGGGAGCAGCAGUCAUGUCAAGUCACAUGCAGUCUGCUGUCUAAGGGGUCCCCUAAAAGCUUGUGUAUGGAAGGCUUGGUCCAGAGCCCACGGUGCUGCUGGAAGGUGGUGGAACCUUCGGGAAGUAGGUUCUACGUGGGAAGUCCUCUGCUCACCGAGGGGCAUAGGCUGAAGGGACUGAAGAGACCCCAGGCUCCUCUUCUCUCUUUGCUUUUCAGUUACCGUGAAGUGAGCAGCUUGCUCUAACACAACACUCCCCACCAUGACGAGAAAGUCAAAGUGACGAAGCCAAAUGACCACGGACUGAGAUCUCUAGAACUGCGAGCCAAGAGAAACCUUCCCUCUUUAUAAGCUGAUCCCCUCUGGUAUUUUGUUACGGCUCUAGCAUGCUGUCCAACCUACAGGGGUGAUUUAAAAAGACUUAGGAAUCACUGUCUUUCAGAACAGUUUGAAAGUCAUUUAAGCAUAGUCCUGUUCCCUGGGUGCUCUUGAAUUUCCUCUCCUUGAAUUGCAUGCUAAUCGCCCGGCUUUCUUUCUUAAACUAAUAAAAGAUUAGGAUGACAUUUUGAAAAGGGCACCUCAUUAAGCAGCCUCAUCUCCAUCGGAGCACCUGGCUCCAUGCACAGUAGCCAGCUGGCCAUUUAUCUUAUGGUAAUGAGGUGUCAUCUCCCACAUGGGCCUGCCUUGCUUUCCCACUUCUGCCUCCACUGGCACCUUUCUCCUCCCCACCUGCCACUGUGUGAGAGCUGUGUCUGUGUGGGACAGGAGGCCUCGGAGUCACCUGGUGUCUGCUCCGUAGGAACAGAUUCUGUGGCUGAGAGGAGAGGUCUUUACCUGUACACCGUGGUCGGAGGGGAGCUCAGGCUGUCAUACACCAGCCUCACGUGACCCUGGUACAGCUCCAGUGCCAGGGGGUCGUUGUCUCCCUUGUAAAGAAGGAUGCCGUUGUCCUUGUCAGUGGCCACCUGGGGAGAGCCAUCAGGGUGUGUGGGUUAGCACUUACCCACGCUCCACCCUCACCUGACCCACUCCUAGCACCCUCUUCAGGUGGCUGCCUCAGAGCCUAGACCAGAUUAGAAUUCAAAUCCACAUCUCUUUCCCCAUCUGGCUGUUCUAGUUCAGAAGGCAAGACUCAAGUUUAUGCUCCAGCAAAUACUAGCUGAGCAAAUUGUUCCGACAAAUAUGCAUUGAACAUGUACUAUGUGCUGUGACAUCAGGGUCACUGACCCCUGGAGGAUGCUCAAGUCCCUUACAUAGAAUAGUAUCUGCAUUAAAUCCCUGCAAGCUCCCAUGUUCUUUAUUACCUCUGGUUGAAUGAUGAUACCCAGGACAGGAAAAAUGCUAUGGAAAUAGCUGUCCUGCACAUGUAGCAGUUACCGGCAUGCUCAACCGUUCGAGACUGUGACGUAACCGUGUCACUAACAAAUUCAUACUGGGGGACUGUGCAAUCAGCUUAUAAAAAAUUCACAAAUAAAAACAUCUCACAUUUUAA